GGUAUUGUUGAGCAUAAACAGGGAAACAAACUGGAAAAGGAUUAAAAAAUAAAUAAAUAUAAAAUUCUGGGAGGCAAAUCUAGGUUAGCAGAGACAAUAUUCUCUGUGAGGGUGAAAGUGAUGUUGUUUGGAAGUAGGAAUAGGAUUAACAACAGAAAAAACAAACUCUUGGAGACGAUCUGGGUGAGGAGAGGCAGUGUUCUCUAUGAUGCACAUGUAGGAAAGGAUGAAUUACACAAACUUUAAUUAGAUGUUUUCUUGAUUUUAGAUAGAUGUAAUGGUUAACCCUUAUAGUCGAGGGAUGUGAACACUAUGCUUCGACGUACUUAUUUUUAAUUGGAGAUAGAAGUUUAUUGUAUUUUUCGUGCUGGGAAUAUAAGUUCUUACGGUACCCCGACUCCCUAUGGAGGUAUGAGUUGUUACAGCUCUUAUCCAAUCAUUUGAAAUAAGAGGAUCAAAGCACACAACUCCUCUACAUGAUCCAUUCGAUGGAACAAGAGAUUUAAUGCUUAACAAUUGAUCUAUUUUUCUCUUAUUUGUUUACUGAUCAUGUAUAUUUAUCAAUGUCGUUGAUUGAUUUGCAUUCAAUUUUUUUUAAAAGGAUAUCAUAGAUCACUUUCUUAUAGCAAUGUAUAAAAUGAAAGGAGAUUCUAGUUGCGGUCCUAAUUAUUUCUAUGACUUGCUUUCCACCUUCAUGGCUAAAUCUGAAAUCACCUUAUCAGACAUGGAUAAAGCUUUGUAUGUGUAUGUAAUAUAU
RNAcentral lists this long non-coding RNA (757 nucleotides) under Carica papaya (papaya). RNAcentral's name for it is "long non-coding RNA (CPAP_LNC016221)". Lineage: Eukaryota; Viridiplantae; Streptophyta; Magnoliopsida; Brassicales; Caricaceae. The record is from RNAcentral.